CAGCAGCCGCGGGAAUACGUAGGUGGCAAGCGUUGUCCGGAAUUAUUGGGCGUAAAGGGCUCGCAGGCGGUUUCUUAAGUCUGAUGUGAAAGCCCCCGGCUCAACCGGGGAGGGUCAUUGGAAACUGGGAAACUUGAGUGCAGAAGAGGAGAGUGGAAUUCCACGUGUAGCGGUGAAAUGCGUAGAGAUGUGGAGGAACACCAGUGGCGAAGGCGACUCUCUGGUCUGUAACUGACGCUGAGGAGCGAAAGCGUUGGGAGCGAACAGGAUUAGAUACCCCCGUAGUCCCUGUCUCUUAUAC
Molecule: ribosomal RNA, 301 nt
Filed under: uncultured bacterium
Lineage: Bacteria
Description: partial 16S ribosomal RNA
Rfam family: Bacterial small subunit ribosomal RNA
Source: RNAcentral